AGGACGAACGCUGGCGGCGUGCUUAACACAUGCAAGUCGAACGGUGAAGCCCUUCGGGGUGGAUCAGUGGCGAACGGGUGAGUAACACGUGGGCAAUCUGCCCUGCAUUCUGGGACAAGCCUUGGAAACGAGGUCUAAUACCGGAUACGACGCAUCCCCGCAUGGGGUGUGCGUGGAAAGCUCCGGCGAUGCAGGAUGAGCCCGCGGCCUAUCAGCUUGUUGGUGGGGUAAUGGCCUACCAAGGCGACGACGGGUAGCCGGCCUGAGAGGGCGACCGGCCACACUGGGACUGAGACACGGCCCAGACUCCUACGGGAGGCAGCAGUGGGGAAUAUUGCACAAUGGGCGAAAGCCUGAUGCAGCGACGCCGCGUGAGGGAUGACGGCCUUCGGGUUGUAAACCUCUUUCAGCAGGGAGAAGCGCAAGUGACGGUACUGCAGAAGAAGCACCGGCUAACUAUGCGCCAGCGGCCGCGGUAA
RNAcentral lists this ribosomal RNA (479 nucleotides) under uncultured bacterium. RNAcentral describes it as "SSU rRNA". It matches the Rfam family "Bacterial small subunit ribosomal RNA", at positions 26 to 523 of the family's 1533-position model. The record is from RNAcentral.